UCUUUGGUAGCUCAAUGGCAGAGCAUCCGGCUGUUAACCGGAGGGUUGAAGGUUCGAGUCCUUCUCAAAGAG
This 72-nucleotide transfer RNA is filed under the name Clostridiales bacterium. Its description in RNAcentral is "tRNA-Asn". It matches the Rfam family "tRNA". Rfam says of the family: Transfer RNA (tRNA) molecules are approximately 80 nucleotides in length. Their secondary structure includes four short double-helical elements and three loops (D, anti-codon, and T loops). The record is from RNAcentral. Lineage: Bacteria; Bacillati; Bacillota; Clostridia; Eubacteriales.